AGCCAGACUGGGGCCCUCUCU
This 21-nucleotide non-coding RNA is filed under the name Xenopus laevis (African clawed frog). RNAcentral also lists the same sequence under 1 other name. The record is from RNAcentral. Lineage: Eukaryota; Metazoa; Chordata; Amphibia; Anura; Pipidae.